UUCGGCGUAGUUUAACAGGUUAGAACGCUCGCACCAUUCUUCAAACAAGCCAGAGAUCCAGGUUCUAGUCUUGGCGUUGGAC
Non-coding RNA from Perkinsus marinus ATCC 50983, 82 nucleotides. Lineage: Eukaryota; Perkinsozoa; Perkinsida; Perkinsidae. The record is from the annotation of a RefSeq genome assembly.